GUCAUCGAGAACAGCUAACACUUUCUUAUUUUUUAGCCGGUCUUGUGCAACUCCUAAAUGAUGGAUAGUGACAUCAUUCUGAUUGAGUAUUAGAGACAAGAACUUAUUUUGUAAUUGCAGUUGUGCGCUGUAUCUAUCAAAACAAGGUCUUGGAUACUCUCUUUUGAUAUUCUCCAUGAAGACGCUAAGUUGAAAGUCAGGAGAGUGUUGGCUAAAUAGAGAUCUGGCGAUGGUGCUCUUACCAAUUCCAGACGGACCCCAAAUCCCUAUCAUCCUCACCUCAUUGGAAUCCAAGCGUAAGAGCAGAUCCAUAUUUUCCAUGUGAGCUCUCAUCCCAACUAAGCUGUUAAAAUCACUUGAUGGAACAGAACUAAUCAGCUUGUUUGAAACAUCUGUGGCUAUUUCCUCAAUCAUGGCCGCUUCAUUAUCCCUAAACAGAGGAAAGAUAAUACAUCGGCUCAAACGGUUUCCAAAUAAGAGUUGUUUGGCUGGAAAUAUGCUGUGUGCAAUUCUCAAGAAUGUCACAUUGCAUGUUUUUAUACACAAAUUUUUGGAUGAUGUUAAAUACACAAAACUCUUAAAUUAAAAAUUAAGCAACUCUAUUUGAAUUCACGCUCCCAAUAUCUCUUCAUUAAAUAACCAAAUAUGUUCAAAAUUUAGAGAAUGGUAUAAGUUUUCACAAAUUAACCCACACACCGAAACACACCGUUUUGAGUUUUCUCUCUAGUGAGCGAUUCUGAGGCGAUUUGGAGCUAGGGUUUUGAGGAUGGAUUCGGCUGCGCCACCGGGUUCUCCUGUCUCUCCGACGAGGGAUAGGAUGGUUACGGAGGUUCGCGACGAGGGUUCUACGGUGGGGAAGUCAGAUCUACCUACCAUUCCGAAGCUUGGGCUGAGUUGGGUGUUUGCUGCCCAAGAUUGAGUAUUAGAGACAAGAACUUAUUUUGUAAUUGCAGUUGUGCGCUGUAUCUAUCAAAACAAGGUCUUGGAUACUCUCUUUUGAUAUUCUCCAUGAAGACGCUAAGUUGAAAGUCAGGAGAGUGUUGGCUAAAUAGAGAUCUGGCGAUGGUGCUCUUACCAAUUCCAGACGGACCCCAAAUCCCUAUCAUCCUCACCUCAUUGGAAUCCA
This 1126-nucleotide long non-coding RNA is filed under the name Brassica napus (rape). RNAcentral describes it as "long non-coding RNA (BNAP_LNC012157)". The record is from RNAcentral. Lineage: Eukaryota; Viridiplantae; Streptophyta; Magnoliopsida; Brassicales; Brassicaceae.